GGUUUGACAUGCACGGAAAAUCUCGUAAAAAUACAGGGUCCGUACGGGGCACUUGCACAAGUAGUGCAUCGCUGUCGUCAUCUCGUGUCGUGAUAUAUUGGGUGAUGUCCCGCAACAAGCGCCACCCCCCUUCCAUGUUGCCCGAACAUUUCGGUGGGGACUCAUAGGAGACAGCCGGGGUCAACUCGGAGGAAGGUGGGGAUGACGUCUAGUCAUCAUGCCCCUUAUAUCCAGGGCUGCACACCUGCUACAAUGGCCCGUACAAAGGGCUGCGAUACCGCCAGGUGGAGCGAGUCCCAAAAAACCGGUUUCAGUUCGGAAUGGGGUUUGCAAAUUGACCUCAAGAAGUUGGGGUUGACAGUUAUUGGUGGUUAGCAA
This 378-nucleotide ribosomal RNA is filed under the name uncultured actinomycete GT37-2b. RNAcentral's name for it is "bacterial SSU rRNA". It matches the Rfam family "Bacterial small subunit ribosomal RNA", at positions 978 to 1355 of the family's 1533-position model. The record is from RNAcentral. Lineage: Bacteria; Bacillati; Actinomycetota; Actinomycetes; Actinomycetales.